Molecule: transfer RNA, 72 nt
Filed under: Caudoviricetes sp.
Lineage: Duplodnaviria; Heunggongvirae; Uroviricota; Caudoviricetes
Description: tRNA-Trp
Rfam family: tRNA
About the family: Transfer RNA (tRNA) molecules are approximately 80 nucleotides in length. Their secondary structure includes four short double-helical elements and three loops (D, anti-codon, and T loops). Further hydrogen bonds mediate the characteristic L-shaped molecular structure. tRNAs have two regions of fundamental functional importance: the anti-codon, which is responsible for specific mRNA codon recognition, and the 3' end, to which the tRNAs corresponding amino acid is attached (by aminoacyl-tRNA synthetases). tRNAs cope with the degeneracy of the genetic code in two manners: having more than one tRNA (with a specific anti-codon) for a particular amino acid; and 'wobble' base-pairing, i.e. permitting non-standard base-pairing at the 3rd anti-codon position.
Source: RNAcentral
AGGAGUAUAGUAUAAUGGUUAGUAUCUCGGUCUCCAAAACCGAUGGUGGUGGUUCGAAUCCAUCUACUUCUG